This 414-nucleotide ribosomal RNA is filed under the name uncultured bacterium. RNAcentral's name for it is "bacterial SSU rRNA". It matches the Rfam family "Bacterial small subunit ribosomal RNA", at positions 505 to 916 of the family's 1533-position model. The record is from RNAcentral.
GUGCCAGCAGCCGCGGCGGCUGACACGANGGGUGCAAGCGUUAAUCGGAAUUACUGGGCGUAAAGCGUGCGUAGAUNGUUCAUUAAGUCGGAUGUGAAAGCCCGGGCUCAANCUGGGAAUGCAUUCGAUACUCGUGGACUAGAGUGCGUAGAGGAUGGCGGAAUUCCCGGUGUAGCGGUCAAAUGCGUAGAGAUCCGGAGGAACAUCCGUGGCGAAGGCGGCCAUCUGGACCAGCNCUGACGUUGAGGCACGAAAGCGUGGGGAGCAANCAGGAUUAGAUACCCUGGUAAUNCACGCCCUAAACGAUGUCGACUGGAUGUUGGGCACACUUUGGUGUUCAGUAUCGAAGCUAACGCGUUAAGUCGACCGCCUGGGGAGUAUGNCGGCAAGCGUGAAACUCAAAUGAAUUGACGG